GACGAACGCUGGCGGCGUGCCUAAUACAUGCAAGUCGAGCGAAGUUUUUCUGGUGCUUGCACUAGAAAAACUUAGCGGCGAACGGGUGAGUAACACGUAAAGAACCUGCCUCAUAGACUGGGACAACUAUUGGAAACGAUAGCUAAUACCGGAUAACAGUAUUUCUCGCAUGAGAGAUAUUUAAAAGUUGGUUAUGCUAACACUAUGAGAUGGCUUUGCGGUGCAUGAGCUAGUUGGUGGGGUAAAGGCCCACCAAGGCGACGAUGCAUAGCCGACCUGAGAGGGUGAUCGGCCACACUGGGACUGAGACACGGCCCAGACUCCUACGGGAGGCAGCAGUAGGGAAUCUUCCGCAAUGGGCGAAAGCCUGACGGAGCAACGCCGCGUGAGUGAAGAAGGAUUUCGGUUCGUAAAGCUCUGUUGUUAGGGAAGAAUGGAUAUGUAGUAACUAUACAUGUAAGAGACGGUACCUAACCAGAAAGCCACGGCUAACUACGUG
RNAcentral lists this ribosomal RNA (499 nucleotides) under uncultured bacterium. RNAcentral describes it as "partial 16S ribosomal RNA". It matches the Rfam family "Bacterial small subunit ribosomal RNA", at positions 28 to 507 of the family's 1533-position model. The record is from RNAcentral.